UAGGGAAUCUUCGGCAAUGGACGAAAGUCUGACCGAGCAACGCCGCGUGAGUGAAGAAGGUUUUCGGAUCGUAAAACUCUGUUGUUAGAGAAGAACAAGGACGUUAGUAACUGAACGUCCCCUGACGGUAUCUAACCAGAAAGCCACGGCUAACUACGUGCCAGCAGCCGCGGUAAUACGUAGGUGGCAAGCGUUGUCCGGAUUUAUUGGGCGUAAAGCGAGCGCAGGCGGUUUCUUAAGUCUGAUGUGAAAGCCCCCGGCUCAACCGGGGAGGGUCAUUGGAAACUGGGAGACUUGGGUGCAGAAGAGGAGAGUGGAAUUCCAUGUGUGGCGGUGAAAUGCGUAGAUAUAUGGAGGCACACCAGUGGCGAAGGCGGCUCUCUGGUCUGUAACUGACGCUGAGGCUCGAAAGCGUGGGGAGCAAACAGA
Molecule: ribosomal RNA, 429 nt
Filed under: Gemmatimonadota bacterium
Lineage: Bacteria; Pseudomonadati; Gemmatimonadota
Description: Gemmatimonadetes bacterium partial 16S ribosomal RNA
Rfam family: Bacterial small subunit ribosomal RNA
Source: RNAcentral